CAGUCGCCGCGGUAAUACGUAGGUGGCAAGCGUUAUCCGGAAUUAUUGGGCGUAAAGCGCGCGUAGGCGGUUUUUUAAGUCUGAUGUGAAAGCCCACGGCUCAACCGUGGAGGGUCAUUGGAAACUGGAAAACUUGAGUGCAGAAGAGGAAAGUGGAAUUCCAUGUGUAGCGGUGAAAUGCGCAGAGAUAUGGAGGAACACCAGUGGCGAAGGCGGCUUUCUGGUCUGCAACUGACGCUGAUGUGCGAAAGCGUGGGGAUCAAACAGGAUUAGAUACCCCUGUAGUCCCUGUCUCUUAUAC
This 301-nucleotide ribosomal RNA is filed under the name uncultured bacterium. RNAcentral's name for it is "partial 16S ribosomal RNA". It matches the Rfam family "Bacterial small subunit ribosomal RNA", at positions 509 to 807 of the family's 1533-position model. The record is from RNAcentral.